UACGUAGGGUGCAGGCGUUACUCGGAAUUACUGGGCGUAAAGCGUGCGCAGGCGGCUUCCUAAGUCAGAUGUGAAAUCCCCGGGCUUAACCUGGGAACUGCGUUUGAAACUGGGAGGCUCGAGUGCGGCAGAGGGGGGUGGAAUUCCACGUGUAGCAGUGAAAUGCGUAGAUAUGUGGAGGAACACCGAUGGCGAAGGCAGCCCCCUGGGCCAGCACUGACGCUCAUGCACGAAAGCGUGGGGAGCAAACAGG
Molecule: ribosomal RNA, 253 nt
Filed under: uncultured bacterium
Lineage: Bacteria
Description: partial 16S ribosomal RNA
Rfam family: Bacterial small subunit ribosomal RNA
Source: RNAcentral